CACCUGGAAACAGAUGCUAAUACCGGAUAACAACACUAGACGCAUGUCUAGAGUUUAAAAGAUGGUUCUGCUAUCACUCUUGGAUGGACCUGCGGUGCAUUAGCUAGUUGGUAAGGUAAAGGCUUACCAAGGCGAUGAUGCAUAGCCGAGUUGAGAGACUGAUCGGCCACAUUGGGACUGAGACACGGCCCAAACUCCUACGGGAGGCAGCAGCC
This 215-nucleotide ribosomal RNA is filed under the name uncultured Lactobacillus sp. Its description in RNAcentral is "partial 16S ribosomal RNA". It matches the Rfam family "Bacterial small subunit ribosomal RNA", at positions 147 to 355 of the family's 1533-position model. Lineage: Bacteria; Bacillati; Bacillota; Bacilli; Lactobacillales; Lactobacillaceae. The record is from RNAcentral.